RNAcentral lists this ribosomal RNA (713 nucleotides) under Schoenus turbinatus. RNAcentral's name for it is "eukaryotic LSU rRNA". The stretch from base 259 to 413 matches the Rfam family "5.8S ribosomal RNA". The record is from RNAcentral. Lineage: Eukaryota; Viridiplantae; Streptophyta; Magnoliopsida; Poales; Cyperaceae.
AACAAGGUUUCCGUAGGUGAACCUGCGGAAGGAUCAUUGUCGUUUGCUUCCAAAAACAUGACCGUCGCGCAUGUGACCGAAUGAUGCCGGGGGGGAGCUGCCGCCCCGGCCCACCGGCACCUGGCCCUCGCGCCCCGGGGGCGCUGGCCGGGUGCUGAACACGGCGCGGGCUAGCGCCAAGGAACACGAGAUGCUGAGGCGGCCGGCGGAGCGCUGAGGCGCGCGGCCGGCUGUCGAUGCGAAGGAACAACACAUGAUGACUCUCGCAGACGGAUAUCUCGGCUCUCGCAUCGAUGAAGAACGUAGCGAAAUGCGAUACGUGGUGUGAAUUGCAGAAUCCCGCGAACCAUCGAGUCUUUGAACGCAAGUUGCGCCCGAGGGACCCGCCCGAGGGCACGCCUGCCUCAUGGGCGUUAGAAGCCCAUCCACGCUCGGCCGCCUAGACUCGUCCCCGUUGGCGGGACUUGGCGGACCGACGCGGAUCUUGGCCCUCCGAGCCCGAUGGCGCGGUGGGCCCAAGUGUGCGGCCGCCGGAUGGGGCCGGGUGCGGCGAGUGGUGGGUUGCUGCGCGCGCCGUCCCGUGCCACGUCCCGGCAGAGGGCCUUGUCUGACCCCCGAACGAGGACCCGGCCUAUCGCAGCGUCCUGCUGUGCGGCAUCUUCGGACUGAUACCCCAGACUUGUGCAGCUACCCGCAAACAAAAAAAAAGAAAA